CUUGUUAAAAAAAAUCCAUCAACAGCAGAAGUCACUAACCAAAUCUAGGUACAUUCUCCUAAUGAAAAUCCACCCAGUAUCAGAAUGAGGAAGCACAGCCACCUCAAAAUGGUUGCUCCUAAAUUGUCAACUUUAAGAAAGCAGGAAAAUGUGAUGACUGAACCUGUGGAUGACCCAGGCAUCCUAGCUUCCCUGGAGACCUCCUGUAACAUGGGUUACGUGGCAUAAUAUGACAUCAGUGAACAUAGGACAAGAGACCAGAUGAAUGAAUGUCAGCCAGUGCUUUGUGAUGAAUGAAACUUCAUUAAUGGGAAGGCAUGCUCCAUUCAUCUGAUUAUUCCUGUGGCUUGGGCAAGUCCAGAUGAGGAUGCAACUACAUCUGUAUUUAUGCUGGUUGCUGCUCCUGGAUUGGUCUCUACAACAAACCCCACCACUAUUCCUAAUAAUCCUUAAUUUUCAGGGUGUUGAUAAAAUGUAAUCUAUCAUGAUAUGAUCAAUCUUUAGUAAAUUUUAUAUUUAAGAUUUAA
This is a long non-coding RNA of Peromyscus eremicus (cactus mouse), 527 nucleotides long. RefSeq lists it as uncharacterized. The transcript has 3 exons. Lineage: Eukaryota; Metazoa; Chordata; Mammalia; Rodentia; Cricetidae. The record is from RefSeq and is a predicted model, not a curated record.